UGGGUCAGGAUCGAACCCAGGGCCUCCUGCAUAGCAGACGAGGGAGUUAACAUCUCUCCACCGUGAUGCGCCAUCACCCAGUGGGAUCGGCAUUCGUGUGGAAUUGUGUGGAGGUGGGCUGCGCAGAGCCUGGAGCGACUUUCUAAAGGUUUAUAUUUAACAACACACGAGGGUGAUGUGGAUUGCACGUACACAAGCUCUCUCAGCCUUACGCGUUAUGCGAAUCCACCAGUUGAUUAAAACUACUGUAUAUUGUGGUAAUUUUGUCUCAACAUAGAAAUACAUUGGAAACUGGGGUUGUUUGAUUAUAAUCAGUCGGUUUAACAUUUUUUUCACGCAGAUGUUGAGAACAGGCCCAAAGGCCCAACAAAAAAUUAACAGCCGGCAACAAACAGCACAAUCAAAGUUGGAAAAGCCGGAAUGCUGCGAGCGAAACACACUCGUGAAGCAACAAAGACUCCUUCACCUACUCAUCUUUCUUUGCCACAUGACGAGCCUUGGGAAAACACACAAGCCACGCGCAUUAUCGCGGGAUGAGCUCAGGACGUUACCCCCGUGUGCUGGGAGCUUCAGGUCCAGAAUAAGUUCCCGACGGAGCUGCCAGCACGUGCAGCGACAAACGUCGGGACAUCUCGCCUAACAACGAACGCUGCCUUUCAUCUGAGCGUCGGAGACAACUUUUAAGGGUGGGAGAAACGAACACGGACGGAGGGUUUGAGACAAACCAGGAACGACACCUGGGAGUCCUCGCGUUCCACUGCGGCCUCGUUUGAAGAUUAGCAUCGGCACCGCGCACAAUGAGUCACCGCCCAUGAUUCGGAGGAGUUCGGCGAUAAGCACGCGCGGUGAAUGUGCUGGUUGUUUUUUUUUUGGUCACGUUCGAAGUAAAAUUUACAACGG
Molecule: long non-coding RNA, 900 nt
Organism: Petromyzon marinus (sea lamprey)
Lineage: Eukaryota; Metazoa; Chordata; Hyperoartia; Petromyzontiformes; Petromyzontidae
Source: RefSeq, a predicted model, not a curated record